Syngnathus acus (greater pipefish) is the source of this 2481-nucleotide long non-coding RNA. RefSeq lists it as uncharacterized. The record is from RefSeq and is a predicted model, not a curated record. The transcript has 7 exons. Lineage: Eukaryota; Metazoa; Chordata; Actinopteri; Syngnathiformes; Syngnathidae.
AUUUUAUGGAUUUUUUUUUUUUUUUAGUCCUAAUAAGAGAAUUUAAUACCAAAUAGCCUUUACUAUCAUUGUUUUGUGAUGAAGCAAUCACGCUGAGGACAUUACCAGGCGUAGGUCCUUGAAACUUUUUCCGUGCUUUCUAUCAUGCUGAGCAUUUUGGACGCACAAGAAGAACGUCAGAGACUGUCGCAUUGUUCGAAACGCUGCCAAAUCCAACUGGCGGCGAGUUUGAAGAGCAGAGAUGCUCUCGGCGCGGCUGUUUGCUGAAGCUUUCAGAUGCCAGCUGCUGCCACCGUCUCUGCUAUGGUCUCAACACGGCAUCCUCCGGUAUGGAGAACAGUGCUGAAGUGGCUGCCGGCAGAAAAGGAGACAUGGAGCGCUUGGCCAGGCGGGCAUCAAUCAAUGCUGUCAAUGCGUAAUCAUAAGAGAUGCUCAAGGCUUCAUUAGCCCUCCGACAGUUCUGCUUCAUAUCUGGCAACCUAGGACUGAAGAUGGUGACUGUCUUUCGGUCGUGGAUGAAAGUGCAGGGGGAAAAGAAGCUCGGCGAUAUGCACUGUGAGAAGAAGUGGCAUCGGUUGCUAGGGAACAAGACAUAAAAGUCGAUAACCGCCGUCUGAGCUCGGGCCAUCGCGCCUUCCUGAACCUGAUGGGAAAAUUCCAGCGGUUGUCUUCGUGUUGCUGCCGCAAGGGAGCGCAAUGUCCCUAUGAGGACAUCCUGAUCCCCGGAGGAAAUCGAUGAUGCGAGCAGGGAGAGGACGAUAAACAGAGAUGCUUCCGACUGACUUGUCGCUCGAGCAAGAGCCCUCGCUCAAGUGAAGUUUUAAGUCUGACCGUCACUGGCAUCCGUCCGCUGCAUCUCAAAGGCUCUUUGACUCCACUCGUCCUCACGUUCGUCCCGCCGCCUCACUUCCGCCGCGUCGCUGUCCCCGCCCUCCCAGGACACCUUGUGAGCGGGGCUGUGCUGACUGAGGCGGUGGCAGGGGGAUGGCGGCGGCAGGUUGGUGGGCGCCACGCUGCAUACGGCCACACCCCGACGGUUGCUGUGCACGUUGGACGUGUCGGACAGGAAGCUGCUAAGCUGUCAACGAAAGACAAGAGCCGAGUGAGCAUUGGGUCUCACCAGCACCUGGGGAGGUCUCGUCAGGCCGCCGCCCACUUCACCGUCUCCUCCGACGCCCGCCUUCCCCGGCGAGUUGGACACACGCACCGCCUUGAACUCGAUGCCUUCUGCGCCCAUGCCGGUCUUGCGCAGCAUGUAGCUGGUCUCCGUAAUGGCCGACACGGCCAAGACGCCCGAGAGCCCCGCUGACGCCGCAGAGUCCUUCCGAAAUGGGAUCUUCUUUCGGAAGAUGACAAAGAGGAUGAGGAGCAGGACGAUGACAAAGCCUAGGACGCCGAUUCCAAUGAUCUCGCCGGGACCGACGUAUGACAGCGGCUGCGCCUGAGACAUGACAAAGAUGUUGACAAAGAUACUUGACACUGAGAUUGGCAGCUAGCACAGAUGAGUGACACCUGUUACAGAUCUUCACAUGCCAAGUAAUUGUCGUUUACACUGACUCAUACUGACGGUGGUUGCUAAUACAAUUAUUAUUAUUGCCUGUUAAUUUCCACGUUGGCCUCUUAAUAAGAUAGACAUGUUUAAAGUAAAAAGUCAAAUGCUUGGAUGGUUGGCGUGUACGUGUUUGCACCUGCGUGUCAUUGCCUAUGUUGCCGUCACCCGGCUCACCGCAGGCCCCAUCCUCGUAUCCGGGCGUGCAGUUGCAGUAGAAGGAUCCCGGCGUGUUGAUGCACUCACCCCCAUCCCCGCAGUCGGCCUGCUCACACUCGUCCACAUCCUCAUCGCAUCUGGAAAAUCAAAUAUCCUUUUUAUCAAAAAAUUACCAUUGCCAUGUGUGAGCAAGGACAGUAACAUAACAGGUUCUACCCGGAGUUCAGUUAAAAAAAAAAAAAAAAAAGGGCCUACACCAAUUCUUUUUCAGCUCUGGAAUUGUGUGAACAAGGGUAUGAACACACAGCGAGCUGAAAUUCCAACGGCAUCAUGGGGGGUGUUUCAUUUAUCAAUAAUGGCCUGUGCUGCGGAGAUGAAUUCAAGGUUUAAGACACUUUUAGCAGGCGAGCGUUUGGCGAUCCACCCCCCGCCAACGCGGGUGCAGGCUUCUCCUUUGAAAUGCGGCUCCCCACCGUCAGCCCCCCAGCGAGACUGUCGUUUUCUCAUUUGCAAUGACUUGGAGCACGCGCACACGUCUUCAGUUUCCUUGGCAUAGCAUAUUGUUUCUUUCUGAUUUGGAUGACAUUUGUUUGAUAUUUACAUACAACAGUUGUGCGGCAACACUUGGAAAUGUCAUCACGCUGAAUAAUAUCUGCUGAGUGGGCAUUUGCACCUGAUUGUUAUGCACUGAUAAACCGCUGCCUAGAACAAUUACAACUCUACUUGCUUAAUACACAUUUAAGCCGUCCACUCACUGAAUAUAAUUUUAGCAC